Molecule: ribosomal RNA, 552 nt
Filed under: uncultured bacterium
Lineage: Bacteria
Description: partial 16S ribosomal RNA
Rfam family: Bacterial small subunit ribosomal RNA
Source: RNAcentral
UAGGAAUCUUCCACAAUGGACGCAAGUCUGAUGGAGCAACGCCGCGUGAGUGAAGAAGGUUUUCGGACCGUAAAGCUCUGUUGUUGGUGAAGAAGGAUAGAGGUAGUAACUGGCCUUUAUUUGACGGUAAUCAACCAGAAAGUCACGGCUAACUACGUGCCAGCAGCCGCGGUAAUACGUAGGUGGCAAGCGUUGUCCGGAUUUAUUGGGCGUAAAGCGAGCGCAGGCGGAAGAAUAAGUCUGAUGUGAAAGCCCUCGGCUUAACCGAGGAAUUGCAUCGGAAACUGUUUUCUUGAGUGCAGAAGAGGAGAGUAGAACUCCAUGUGUAGCGGUGGAAUGCGUAGAUAUAUGGAAGAAUACCAGUGGCGAAGGCGGCUCUCUGGUCUGCAACUGACGCUGAGGCUCGAAAGCAUGGGUAGCGAACAGGAUUAGAUACCCUGUGAGUCCAUGCCGCAAACGAUGAGUGCUAAGUGUUGGGAGGCUUCCGCCUCUCAGUGCUGCAGCUAACGCAUUAAGCACUCCGCCUGGGGAGUACGACCGCAAGGUUGAAAC